Molecule: long non-coding RNA, 1661 nt
Filed under: Salmo salar (Atlantic salmon)
Lineage: Eukaryota; Metazoa; Chordata; Actinopteri; Salmoniformes; Salmonidae
Description: lncRNA (ENSSSAG00000109755.1)
Source: RNAcentral
GACUUUUUCUGGUGUUAUUGGAGACUUUUGGAGACUAUGACGUGAAAGCACGUAUCGUUCCUACUCUUCUCAACGAGCAGCGAGUGCUGCCGUGGGCCCCACCCCCCACAUCCCAUCCCAAAGCACUCCCAGGCGGCCCAAAAUAAUGAAAGUACAAAAGGUGUGGUACUGAUCCUCUACAUAGUCAAAGCAGACGAGUAUAAUAAAACAGGGCUCGACGACAACGAUGGCAGUGACCCCAUCCCCACUACCACCCUUACUGCCACUCCUGCUACCCCCUCAGCCGCUCAGAACAAUCCUACAGUUACUACCUUGGUCCAGCCAGACUACCGUGACUCUAACCUUACCAACAACAUCACCGUCGGCAGUAGAGAUGGCAACCAAACCCAAGACCAGAACCAGAACCAAGACCAGAACGAAGAUGUGGGUGUUGGAACCUCGCGGGACGACGUGACAACGGUUGCCGCGGAAACCACGCCGUCGGGGGCGACCAACGGCCGAUCUGAGGAAGUGCAACUUGACGGUACCGUGUCGAAUGACGCGAUUACAACAUCAUCACCAGUGCUGAUAGAAUCUACUGGAAGAGGAAGCAGUGCUACAGCAGGCUAUGUAAUCCUGUUCCUCAUAUUGUUAGUCAUUGUCUGUCUGGUGGUGGUUCUCUAUUUCCAGAGGAAGAAGUCCAGGAAGUAUUCGUUUGACCUUGCGGGUAACGAUCACGACACCCCCCUCACCUGCGUGGAACAAGCCGGAACCUUCGAACCCAACGAGAAAGCCGGAGGUUUUGACUACGUGAUAGAGAGCGGUGGUGAUGACCACCAGGCUAUGGGCCCUGUGGCCAAUGGCUCAGCUGGGGAGGCGAGGUCCGCUGGAGAGAACGGAGAGAAGCAGGGUCAUGGUGAUAGUGAUGGAGACAGCUUCGACAACUUCUGUGGCCAUGCGAUCACGCUGACUCCGACCGUAAAGAGGGUGGGCUUUAGCCUGGACAUGAGUGACAGGCAGUCGGACAAAUCAGACAACGGGGAGCAGAAUGGGAACAACAACAACGUUGCCGUGGGGAUGACCCCUGAGCCGCCGGGCCUGACCUUUGACCCUGUAGGUCCAGGUGACGUCUUCACUGAAAUCAGCCUGGAUAUAUAGAAGACGCACACACAUUGUUGUAAAAUUGUAAUGUUCUGUUGUGGUUGAUUUAUAGAUGAAUGUAAAAAGCUUCAAAUAACUUUUACAUCCCUAUUUUUUAUGCUGUAAAUUUUUGAUACCGUAAAUUUUUGAUACUGUAAGUUUUUGAUACCGUAAAUUUUUGAUACCGUAAAUUUUUGAUACUGUAAGUUUUUGAUACCGUAAGUUUUUGAUACCGUAAAUUUUUGAUACUGUAAGUUUUUGAUUCCGUACAUUUUUGAUACCGUAAAUUUUUGAUACUGUAAGUUUUUGAUACCGUAAAUUUUUGAUACCGUAAAUUUUUGAUACUGUAAGUUUUUGAUACCGUAAAUUUUUGAUACCGUAAGUUUUUGAUUCCGUAAAUUUUUUUCGUAUUUCAAGAUAAAAAACGAAUGUUUAUAGUUUUUUUGUUAUUCAUUUUAAUAAUGUCUUACGCAUUGAUAAUAAUCGCAGGAGACGCCAAGUCACACGGCGAUUGUUUUUAGAAUAAAACAUACUUCACAGAA